This 468-nucleotide ribosomal RNA is filed under the name uncultured bacterium. Its description in RNAcentral is "partial 16S ribosomal RNA". It matches the Rfam family "Bacterial small subunit ribosomal RNA", at positions 28 to 507 of the family's 1533-position model. The record is from RNAcentral.
GACGAACGCUGGCGGCGUGCUUAACACAUGCAAGUCGAACGGAAAGGCCCUGCUUUUGUGGUGUGCUCGAGUGGCGAACGGGUGAGUAACACGUGAGUAACCUGCCCUUGACUUUGGUAUAACUUCAGGAAACUGGGGCUACUACCGUAUAGGAUCUCCUGCUGCAUGGUGGGGGUUGGAAAUUUUCGGCUGUUGGGGAUGGACUCGCGGCUUAUCAGCUUGUUGGUGGGGUAGUGGCUUACCAAGGCUUUGACGGGUAGCCGGCCUGAGAGGGUGACCGGCGACAAUGGGACUGAGAGACGGCCCAGACUGCUACGGGAGGCAGAAGGGGGGAAUAUUGCACAAUGGGCGGAAGCCUGAGGCAGAAACGCCGGGGGCGGGAUGACGGCCUGCGGGGUGUAAACCGCUUUCGCCUGUGACGAAGCGUGAGUGACGGUAAUGGGUAAAGAAGCACCGGCUAACUACGUG